ACUGAUUAUUAGGCUAUAAUGAAAAUGAGAUAAAGUGAAAUCGGCAACGACCUCCAGGAUCUUCUAUUUCCUUUUACUUCCAAAGGCAAAUAAAAACCAUCUUUUACAGAACGUCCACUUCCUCAAGGCAAGUCAAAUCAGCACCUCAGUUAUUUCUGUUUUCUAAGUCAUCUGCAAGUACCCACAUGUCACAGAGGUAAAACUUGAUGGGACAAAAAUUCAUACAGCUAUCUUUUUUUUUUUUCAAAGUAAAAAAGGUAUUUACUUUCAAACUUUCAGACUCUUUCUUUCUGACCUUAAAGAACACAGGUGUGCCUGUUCCAUAAGGUUUAUUAGUGUAUUGCAAUAUCUCUCAUUUUUAAGGUUCUGGAACAAAUGAUUAAGAAUCUUAUUUUCAAAUGGAAGUAUAGAUGUAAACAUGAGUGUAUUGGACACGAACACAUAUACAGAUGCUACAAAUGUGCUUUAGCCUAAAAUAUCAUAGCACUUGCUCGGUGGUAGUAUCAUACAAUAGAGCCUUGGCACAAAGGAAUUCUGAUUGUGCUGUAUACAGAA
Molecule: long non-coding RNA, 555 nt
Filed under: Bos taurus (domestic cattle)
Lineage: Eukaryota; Metazoa; Chordata; Mammalia; Artiodactyla; Bovidae
Description: long non-coding RNA NONBTAT014191
Source: RNAcentral